Molecule: ribosomal RNA, 537 nt
Filed under: bacterium enrichment culture clone TC60a_596
Lineage: Bacteria
Description: bacterial SSU rRNA
Rfam family: Bacterial small subunit ribosomal RNA
Source: RNAcentral
GACGAACGCUGGCGGCGUGCCUAACACAUGCAAGUCGAGCGGUCCGGCACUCAACUAAGUGCUUACUUAAGGGGAAGGAAGUAUAGUAGAAGAAGAAAGUAAUAAAAGUGGUGCAAAGUAAGGUAAGCACGGAGUUGAGUGCCGGAUAGCGGCGGACGGGUGAGUAACGCGUGGGCAACCUACCCUUAAGACCGGGAUAACACCUCGAAAGGGGUGCUAAUACUGGAUAAGCUCCUUGUAGGGCAUCCUAUGGGGAGGGAAGGUAGCGGAAGCUACCGCUUAAGGAUGGGCCCGCGUCCCAUCAGCUAGUUGGUAGGGUAACGGCCUACCAAGGCGACGACGGGUAGCCGGCCUGAGAGGGUGGUCGGCCACACUGGGACUGAGACACGGCCCAGACUCCUACGGGAGGCAGCAGUGGGGAAUCUUGCGCAAUGGGCGAAAGCCUGACGCAGCGACGCCGCGUGAGCGAAGAAGGCCUUCGGGUCGUAAGACUCGAUAGUGUGGGAAGGAAGUAGAUGACGGUACCACACGAAACGG